RNAcentral lists this transfer RNA (73 nucleotides) under Camelus bactrianus (Bactrian camel). It matches the Rfam family "tRNA". From Rfam's summary of the family: Transfer RNA (tRNA) molecules are approximately 80 nucleotides in length. Their secondary structure includes four short double-helical elements and three loops (D, anti-codon, and T loops). Lineage: Eukaryota; Metazoa; Chordata; Mammalia; Artiodactyla; Camelidae. The record is from Rfam by way of RNAcentral. RNAcentral also lists the same sequence under 1 other name.
CUAGGUAUAGCUCAAGCGGUAGAGUGCAUGCUUAGCAUGCACGAGGUCCUGGGUCCAAUCCCCAGUACCGAAG